CCUACGGGAGGCAGCAGUGAGGAAUAUUGGACAAUGGGCGCAAGCCUGAUCCAGCCAUGCCGCGUGCAGGAUGACGGUCCUAUGGAUUGUAAACUGCUUUUAUACGAGAAGAAACACUCCGACGUGUCGGAGCUUGACGGUAUCGUAAGAAUAAGGAUCGGCUAACUCCGUGCCAGCAGCCGCGGUAAUACGGAGGAUCCAAGCGUUAUCCGGAAUCAUUGGGUUUAAAGGGUCCGUAGGCGGUUUAAUAAGUCAGUGGUGAAAGCCCAUCGCUCAACGGUGGAACGGCCAUUGAUACUGUUAAACUUGAAUUAUUAGGAAGUAACUAGAAUAUGUAGUGUAGCGGUGAAAUGCUUAGAGAUUACAUGGAAUACCAAUUGCGAAGGCAGGUUACUACUAAUUGAUUGACGCUGAUGGACGAAAGCGUGGGUAGCGAACAGGAUUAGAUACCCUGGUAGUCCACGCCGUAAACGAUGGAUACUAGCUGUUGGGAGCAAUCUCNGUGNGUAGACGAAGUAGAUAGUAUCCACCGUCGGGUAGGUACGUUCGCGAGAAGUAGAACGUAACGAAAGGUAAAGUUAGUACGGACGUGAGACGUACGACCGACGGACGACCGACGGAGGGGAGGAGG
This 631-nucleotide ribosomal RNA is filed under the name uncultured bacterium. RNAcentral describes it as "bacterial SSU rRNA". The stretch from base 1 to 531 matches the Rfam family "Bacterial small subunit ribosomal RNA", at positions 338 to 873 of the family's 1533-position model. The record is from RNAcentral.